CGGACCUGACUGCUAUCGGAUUGAUACUAAGCCAUGCGAGUCAUUGUAGCAAUACAAGGCAUACGGCUCAGUAACGCGUAGUCAACCUAACCUAUGGACGGGAAUAACCUCGGGAAACUGAGAAUAAUGCCCGAUAGAACAUUAUGCCUGGAAUGGUUUAUGUUCCAAAUGAUUUAUCGCCGUAGGAUGGGACUGCGGCCUAUCAGUUUGUUGGUGAGGUAAUGGCCCACCAAGACUAUUACAGGUACGGGCUCUGAGAGGAGUAGCCCGGAGAUGGGUACUGAGACACGGACCCAGGCCCUAUGGGGCGCAGCAGGCGAGAAAACUUUGCAAUGUGCGAAAGCACGACAAGGUUAAUCCGAGUGGUUUCUGCUAAAGGAACCUUUUGUCAGUCCUAGAAACACUGAUGAAUAAGGGGUGGGCAAGUUCUGGUGUCAGCCGCCGCGGUAAAACCAGCACCUCAAGUGGUCAGGAUGAUUAUUGGGCCUAAAGCAUCCGUAGCCGGCUCUGUAAGUUUUCGGUUAAAUCUGUACGCUCAACGUACAGGCUGCCGGGAAUACUGCAAAGCUAGGGAGUGGGAGAGGUAGACGGUACUCGGUAGGAAGGGGUAAAAUCCUUUGAUCUAUUGAUGACCACCUGUGGCGAAGGCGGUCUACCAGAACACGUCCGACGGUGAGGGAUGAAAGCUGGGGGAGCAAACCGGAUUAGAUACCCGGGUAGUCCCAGCUGUAAACCAUGCAAACUCAGUGAUGCAUUGGCUUGUGGCCAAUGCAGUGCUGCAGGGAAGCCGUUAAGUUUGCCGCCUGGGAAGUACGUACGCAAGUAUGAAACUUAAAGGAAUUGGCGGGG
Molecule: ribosomal RNA, 849 nt
Filed under: uncultured archaeon
Lineage: Archaea
Description: bacterial SSU rRNA
Rfam family: Archaeal small subunit ribosomal RNA
Source: RNAcentral